This 1407-nucleotide ribosomal RNA is filed under the name uncultured bacterium. RNAcentral describes it as "16S ribosomal RNA". It matches the Rfam family "Bacterial small subunit ribosomal RNA". The record is from RNAcentral.
AGAGUUUGAUCAUGGCUCAGGACGAACGCUGGCGGCGUGCCUAAUACAUGCAAGUAGAACGCUGAAGAGAGGAGCUUGCUCUUCUUGGAUGAGUUGCGAACGGGUGAGUAACGCGUAGGUAACCUGCCUUGUAGCGGGGGAUAACUAUUGGAAACGAUAGCUAAUACCGCAUAACAAUGGAUGACACAUGUCAUUUAUUUGAAAGGGGCAAUUGCUCCACUACAAGAUGGACCUGCGUUGUAUUAGCUAGUAGGUGAGGUAACGGCUCACCUAGGCGACGAUACAUAGCCGACCUGAGAGGGUGAUCGGCCACACUGGGACUGAGACACGGCCCAGACUCCUACGGGAGGCAGCAGUAGGGAAUCUUCGGCAAUGGGGGCAACCCUGACCGAGCAACGCCGCGUGAGUGAAGAAGGUUUUCGGAUCGUAAAGCUCUGUUGUAAGUCAAGAACGAGUGUGAGAGUGGAAAAUUCACACUGUGACGGUAGCUUACCAGAAAGGGACGGCUAACUACGUGCCAGCAGCCGCGGUAAUACGUAGGUCCCGAGCGUUGUCCGGAUUUAUUGGGCGUAAAGCGAGCGCAGGCGGUUUGAUAAGUCUGAAGUUAAAGGCUGUGGCUCAACCAUAGUUCGCUUUGGAAACUGUCAAACUUGAGUGCAGAAGGGGAGAGUGGAAUUCCAUGUGUAGCGGUGAAAUGCGUAGAUAUAUGGAGGAACACCGGUGGCGAAAGCGGCUCUCUGGUCUGUAACUGACGCUGAGGCUCGAAAGCGUGGGGAGCGAACAGGAUUAGAUACCCUGGUAGUCCACGCCGUAAACGAUGAGUGCUAGGUGUUGGAUCCUUUCCGGGAUUCAGUGCCGCAGCUAACGCAUUAAGCACUCCGCCUGGGGAGUACGACCGCAAGGUUGAAACUCAAAGGAAUUGACGGGGGCCCGCACAAGCGGUGGAGCAUGUGGUUUAAUUCGAAGCAACGCGAAGAACCUUACCAGGUCUUGACAUCCCGAUGCUAUUUCUAGAGAUAGAAAGUUACUUCGGUACAUCGGUGACAGGUGGUGCAUGGUUGUCGUCAGCUCGUGUCGUGAGAUGUUGGGUUAAGUCCCGCAACGAGCGCAACCCCUAUUGUUAGUUGCCAUCAUUCAGUUGGGCACUCUAGCGAGACUGCCGGUAAUAAACCGGAGGAAGGUGGGGAUGACGUCAAAUCAUCAUGCCCCUUAUGACCUGGGCUACACACGUGCUACAAUGGUUGGUACAACGAGUUGCGAGUCGGUGACGGCAAGCUAAUCUCUUAAAGCCAAUCUCAGUUCGGAUUGUAGGCUGCAACUCGCCUACAUGAAGUCGGAAUCGCUAGUAAUCGCGGAUCAGCACGCCGCGGUGAAUACGUUCCCGGGCCUUGUACACACCGCCCGUCA